This 171-nucleotide non-coding RNA is filed under the name Azadinium spinosum. Lineage: Eukaryota; Dinophyceae; Gonyaulacales; Amphidomataceae. The record is from RNAcentral.
GCAUGCGCACUAAGAUUGUUGGCAAUAACGCAGGAACGAGACGUGGAGACGGAUUUGGUCAGCCACAAUGCCGCGAUCAGCGCUUUUGAGAGGGGGGAAGAGUGGAAGCGGGCCUUGAGACGGUUGGAAGAGAUGCAUGAGCAAGGCAUAGAGCCUGACGAGAUUAGCUAC